CCGUCGAUAUGCAUUUGUUCUCGCCACUAAAGCGCACUACGCACUACGCUCUCCCCAUUGCUGUCCGUAUAUACGCAGAUCUUUCUCUCGUCGAAUAAGUAUUGUGUCCAGCCGAAUAAGUAUUGUGUCCAUUUGUGAUUAUCUCUCACAUCUUAAAUUCACAGCUCUGAGCUACUUCUAUAACAACAAAUGGAGGCUGCUGUUGCGACAUCAUCAAAUGAUUUCAUCAAUUAUUUGCAGUCAAUGGGUAUUGAUGGAGCCACAUUAAAUAUAUUUCAAGAACAAGAAUGUAAUAAUCUCUUACAUGAAGGAUACAUUUCCAAAUAGAAGACAUUGGAUCAGUACAGCAAAUCCAAGCAUCACAGAAAUUUUUAAAAAAUAUCCACGAUUGAUGGAUUACAAUGGAGAAAUGAUUAAUGUAGAGUUUCAACAAAUGUUUACUGGAUUAGAAGAUAACUUUUUAACUCGAUUUCCUGCGUACUAUAGUCAGAGAAUAAUAUCGUAUGCUAAAAUGCAUCGACGUGAUGUGUACGACCAAGUAACCUUUAAAA
Molecule: non-coding RNA, 551 nt
Organism: Linepithema humile (Argentine ant)
Lineage: Eukaryota; Metazoa; Arthropoda; Insecta; Hymenoptera; Formicidae
Source: RefSeq, a predicted model, not a curated record